CCCGUUAGUUCAUCUGUGUUUCUUAAUGUGGGAGCUUACUUUUCCCCUUCAAUGCUCGUUACAAAUUUUCAAGCUGUCUGUCCUUGGAUUUUUUUUUUAUCAAAUUGUCUCUAACAAACCUUUUUGCAGCUGCUAUUUGUGCAGGACUGUCUGGAUUCAGAAUUGGUUGGCUGACAGGAGGCAGAGAGUGGUUGUAGAGAUGGAGGAUGGCAUUGAUGCUGGCGAUGUUAGUUGUUCCUAGGACUUCAAUAUUUACGGUGCAGUUUUGUGGCAGAUCUUGAGGAUGUUGCACAGGCAACACUGGUUCAAGAAGUCAUCGCUGUUGGCAGUACAGGACCCAAGCCUCAGUACCACACUGAAGGAUGAUUUUCAGAAUAUCUACAUAGAGCAGAUUUCUUUAUUGGCUAAAGCAAGAGAAGACUAUUUACAAGCACAUGGAUGAGGUGGAG
Molecule: long non-coding RNA, 449 nt
Organism: Stegostoma tigrinum
Lineage: Eukaryota; Metazoa; Chordata; Chondrichthyes; Orectolobiformes; Stegostomatidae
Exons: 3
Source: RefSeq, a predicted model, not a curated record